AAGUUGUUGCGGUUAAAAGCUCGUAGUUCGAGCUCAGUUCCGGACUGGCCGGGGAGGUCACCGCCCGGUGCUUCCCCGUCAGGCUCCGAACAGCCUUCGUGAGCGGAGGCCAAGCCGGUUCUGCCGGGGUGCUCUUUACCGAGUGUCCCGCGCGGCCGGCCAGUUCACCUUGAAUAAAUGAGAGUGCUCAAAGCAGGCUACUCUCGAAUACAAUGCCCGAAUGUUACCUGCAUGGAAUGAUGGAAGAUGAUCUCGGUUCCAUUUUAUUGGUGGUGGGAGCCCGAGGUAAUGAUAAACAGGGACUGUCGGGGGCAUCCGUACUACGACGCGAGAGGUGAAAUUCAGUGACCGUCGUAGGACGAACAACAGCGAAAGCAUUUGCCAAGAAUGUCUUCGUUGAUCAAGAACGAAAGUUAGAGGAUCGAAGGCGAUCAGAUACCGCCCUAGUUCUAACCCUAAACGAUGCUGACUAGCAAUUCGCCGUCGUUAUUCCCAUGACGUGGCGAGACGCCCCCGGGAAACCUCAAGUCUUUGAGUUCCGGGGGUAGUAUGGUUGCAAAACUGAAACUUAAAGGAAUUGACGGAAGGGCACCACCAGGAGUGGAGCCUGCGGCUUAAUUUGACUCAACACGGGAAACCUCACCAGGCCCGGACACCAGAAGGAUUGACAGAUUAAGAGCUCUUUCUCGAUUUGGUGGGUGGUGGUGCAUGGCCGUUCUUAGUUGGUGGAGUGAUUUGUCUGGUUAAUUCCGGUAACGAACGAGACUCUGGCCUACUAAAUAGUCGACGGGCGUUUUGGUGCAUGGGCCCCGUUCGACACAGUCUUCUUAGAGGGAUGAGCAGCGAGUAUAGCUGCAGGAGAUUGAGCAAUAACAGGUCUGUGAUGCCCUUAGAUGUCCUGGGCCGCACGCGCGCUACACUGAAUGGGUUAGCGGGUUGUCCUUCUCCGAGAGGAGCGGGAAAUCGCUUGAAAACCAUUCGUGAUAGGGAUUGGGGCUUGCAAUUGUUUCCCAUGAACGAGGAAUUCCCAGUAAGCGCAAGUCAUCAGCUUGCGUUGAUUAAGUCCCUGCCCUUUGUACACACCGCCCGUCGCUACUACCGAUUGAAUGAUUUAGUGAGGCCUUCGGACUGGCGGUCUUGGACUGGGGCGCCGGCGUUCUCCAGCAAUGGGGUGCCGGCGACCCGCCUAGACGGGCCGGAAAGAUGUCCAAACUUGAUCAUUUAGAGGAAGUAAAAGUCGUAACAAGGUUUCCGUAGGUGACUG
RNAcentral lists this ribosomal RNA (1264 nucleotides) under Palaemonella pottsi. Its description in RNAcentral is "SSU rRNA". It matches the Rfam family "Eukaryotic small subunit ribosomal RNA", at positions 607 to 1817 of the family's 1831-position model. Lineage: Eukaryota; Metazoa; Arthropoda; Malacostraca; Decapoda; Palaemonidae. The record is from RNAcentral.